GGAGACGUGGGUGAGUGGCUGAAACCAACGCUUUGCUAAAGCGUCAUACGGGUGACCGUAUCGAGGGUUCGAAUCCCUCCGUCUCCGCCA
RNAcentral lists this transfer RNA (90 nucleotides) under Sphingomonas sanxanigenens. RNAcentral describes it as "tRNA-Ser". It matches the Rfam family "tRNA". From Rfam's summary of the family: Transfer RNA (tRNA) molecules are approximately 80 nucleotides in length. Their secondary structure includes four short double-helical elements and three loops (D, anti-codon, and T loops). The record is from RNAcentral. Lineage: Bacteria; Pseudomonadati; Pseudomonadota; Alphaproteobacteria; Sphingomonadales; Sphingomonadaceae. RNAcentral also lists the same sequence under 1 other name.